UACGUAGGUGUCAAGCGUUGUCCGGAUUUAUUGGGCGUAAAGCGCCCGCAGGCGGCUUGCCAAGUUCGAUGUGAAAUCUCCCGGCUCAACUGGGAGGGUGCAUCGAAAACUCGCAGGCUUGAGGCAGGGAGAGGGAUGUGGAAUUCCAGGUGUAGUGGUGAGAUGCGUAGAUAUCUGGAGGAACACCAGUGGCGAAGGCGGCAUCCUGGCCCUGUCCUGACGCUCAGGGGCGAAAGCGUGGGGAGCAAACCGG
This 253-nucleotide ribosomal RNA is filed under the name uncultured bacterium. RNAcentral describes it as "partial 16S ribosomal RNA". It matches the Rfam family "Bacterial small subunit ribosomal RNA", at positions 524 to 776 of the family's 1533-position model. The record is from RNAcentral.